CCUACGGGUGGCUGCAGUCGAGGAUCUUCGGCAAUGGGCGAAAGCCUGACCGAGCGACACCGCGUACAGGAUGAAGGCCUUCGGGUUGUAAACUGUUGUCACGCUAUAGGAACCCCUUGGUGUUAACAGCGCCAAGGCUGACUAAAGCGAGAGGAAGCAACGGCUAACUCUGUGCCAGCAGCCGCGGUAAGACAGAGGUUGCAAACGUUGUUCGGAAUCACUGGGCAUAAAGCGCACGUAGGCGGUCUGUUAAGUCAGGUGUGAAAGCCCCCGGC
This 275-nucleotide ribosomal RNA is filed under the name uncultured bacterium. RNAcentral's name for it is "partial 16S ribosomal RNA". It matches the Rfam family "Bacterial small subunit ribosomal RNA", at positions 338 to 608 of the family's 1533-position model. The record is from RNAcentral.